CUCGCGCGAGAAGCUAGGCAUUGCCAAGCGCAGGGCUGGUGGAUUUACUCGGGAUCAUUUGCACUCUGCGUGGUUGGCACGGCUAACUUUCCCCCUCCCCACACCUUCACUCCUUCAACUUCUUUGCCUUUCCCAACUGCGCGCUUUCCUCUGGGUUUUCCAUCCGGUGGCUUAGUCGACCUCAACAAAGAAACCUCUCUCUCUCUCUCUCUCUCUCUCCCUCCCUCCCUCCCUCUCCUUUAAUUCACGAAUUGGGUCCAGGUGCCGCUAUUUGCAAGGGGAACGCGCCACCUGCUGUUCUAACUGGGAGAGACAGGAAGGCUUCGCUACUGUAUAUUGAACUGCAAGCCUAAGGUCGCUGUUGGAGCGGAAAAAACGCUACUUAUCCUUCGGACAGUCAAUGAGAUUCGCAAUGAAAUCGAUUCAGAUAAAUCAACUAGCUUGCAUUCAACAGAUAAACCAAUAAAACAGGAUCGUGUUGGUGAAAAAAACUUAGAACAAGGUCAAGAAACCUUAACCUUAAAGAAAGAAAUCCUCAUCAUUAAGCAGAGCAACCAGUAUUUAGAAUGGAAAAUGGCCAACGUAACAGAACAACUUGAAAAAAGGCGAAAUCAAGGACUUCCAGGACCUCCCGGUGAGUGCAUUUAUUCCAAUCAUCUUUUAA
This 664-nucleotide long non-coding RNA is filed under the name Salvator merianae (Argentine black and white tegu). RNAcentral's name for it is "lncRNA (ENSSMRG00000014384.1)". The record is from RNAcentral. Lineage: Eukaryota; Metazoa; Chordata; Lepidosauria; Squamata; Teiidae.